UGGAGGGAGGAGAGGAGGAGCAGCAGGAAGCAGGAGGUGAAGGUGGGGAGGAAUAAUGAGGAUCCACCAGAACCAGAACCACAGACCAGCCUGAAUAAUCCAAACCAAACGCAGUGAGACUCAGAUGCAGAACAAACUGCAGAUGUGGACUCUCCUAUCGGCCUGCAGGGAUCUGUCCGUCCGUCCGUCUGUCCUCCUCAGGUUUUCUGUGGAUUUGCUCUGAAUUUCCAUCUUUGGCUCGUCUGAAAGUGUCUUAAUGAUCAGGAGAAAGUCUCUCAUUCAGGGCCGAGCCGUCGUCUUUGACUCUGAAAAAUGUAAAUUCAUUCCAGAGGACUUCAUUUGGUUGGCUCUCCUCUCCCGUUCGCCUCAGGCGCGGUCGAGCUGCAGUCUUGGAAAACUUUGGAAGAUGUUUUCCAGAUCCAGAGUUUCAGUCUUCGUUCGUCUCUGGGGCGAAACGUUUUCAGGAACUUUUUAACUUGGAUCAGAGGAGAAACUGAUGAGAAAAUGAAACGUUUCUCUGGAGUUAAAACACGUCGACGGUCUGAAAGGAACAUGGCUGUUUGGUUCCUUUGGAUCGGCAGACGGAGCAGCUGAAACGGUGCGGCUGUUUCUGAUUUUCUGAAGCCUCCUGGAGGAAAGAGAAGCAGCAAAACGACAGACAGACGCGUCUGGCGUUCUGAUUGGCUGAGACUGGCUGACAUAAUGCUGCCAUCACCUGAUCGUUCUCCUGCUGACCUCCUUCUGUCUAACAUAGAAACUUCUCUGGUUCAGUUCUUCUGCUUCUGCUCUGUCUUCUCAAACCUGCAGAUGGUACUAAGCCAGGUUCUGGUUCUGGUUCUGCUGGAGGUUUCUUCCUGUUAAAGGUGUGUUUUUCCUUUCUACAUUCGUUAGAUGCAACGUCAGAAUGAGGGAGUGUGUCUGAUCCAGGAAACUUUGAGUUUCAUCUUUGCUUUUCAUAGAUAAUGUGGUUCUGUUGCCAUCAACAGGUCGUCACCUUCGUCAUGUCGUGACCUUCAUCAGGUCGUGACCUUCGUCAUGUCAGUGAUCAGCGUUGUGUUUGAAGCAGUGAUGGCGUUCCUCAGGGCUAAAAUCCCCUACAUGGGAGAGUUCAAAGGUCAAAACCACCCACCUCAGUUGGCAGUGAAACCUUUCUUCACCUGCUGUAAAAACCCGUCACACCUUCAGCCAACAUGUUGGAUCUGCCUUCGUUCAACUCUGAACUCAGCCUGAAGGAAAAUGUCCGACCUUCAGGUUGUGAUCUUAAGUUCAAGCAGAAAACCAAACUUGAGCUUUUGGAGUGGCCUAGUCAAAGUCCAAAAUAAAUCUGAUGAGUGAGGUUGUUUUGGACUGAUCCAUCCAGCAGACUCGUAAACCCAGAACUUUGUUGCUGCUGAAACGCCUCGUCCUCUUCGGAUCAACCGGUCGACCUGAUGAAACUCCUGGACCUCCUUUUCUUCUUCUCUUGCAUCGAAACAUGAACCUUCAGCUGCAGCUGAAACUCCACGCCUGGCUGGUUGUGGAAGGUUUUGUGAAAAAUGACUCCUGGUUGUCAGAGCGUCUUGUUACCCUGACAGCAGGAGGAGAAAAUGAUGCAGGAAUAUUUCUGGAUGCUGGCAGACGAAUGAAAACAGCAACAGGCUGCAGGAGGCAAUAAAUCACAGACAGAUUUGUCAUGAUUUGUGAUGUUCGCUGUCAUAUUUCCUCUCUGCUCUAGACAUGCUGGUCCAGUCAAAGGCUGCAGCUUCAUCUUCACCCAGCAGAGAUUUAUAAUCUGACGUUUAUUUAGAGAAUAACAGGAAUGAUGCAAACACUGAGACGCAGCGACACUUUUUAAUUGCAGGGUCUGUAAUUAAUGAAUUAUGGAAUUAGAUAAACUGCAUAUCGACAAAAUAAGCAACAUUUUCAAUUCAAAAACACAUUUUGCUGCUCAGUUAUUGAAUAAAUAGAAAUACAAGCUUCAUAACCAAGAUAUUUAUAGUUUUUAAUCUGGUCUUCAUGGAGCCGCUUCAGAAAUGUGAACGCUGAUAUCAGAAAUCAAUCAGCUGCAGGAUUGAUUUCUGAUUGAUCAAUACGACGAAAGAGAAACGCCUGGAUGGGUUUGUCUGAACUGAGACAUUAGAAAUGUUCUGCAGCUUGAGAAGGCCCACUUUGGCUCAGGUCAGAGGUCAGAGGUCAGCCUAAUCUCUGGUUUCCAGCUGGAAGAACUGAAGCUGAUUCUAGAUCUAUAACUCUAGAUCUAUAACUCUAGAUCAAAUAUAAUAACUUCAGUUUAGUUUCUGUUCAGCAGAAGUUAAACUAAGAUUGUAAUGUAGAGCUGUGCAUCAUCUGCGUCGUUAUGGUAACUGAUAUGAUCAUGAGCAGAUUAAUAAAUGAUUAUUUUACCAUUUUUGAGGUUUUUAGCAAAUUCUACAACCUUUAUGUUAUUUCAGGGAUUAUUCUGGAGAAAGAAAACGUCGCCAACAGAAGAAUGACCGGAAACACGUCGAGGUUUCUGGACGGGUUCAAAACAGCACAAAGAGGAAAAGAUGAGGCUCAAAGCUCAACAACUCGUCCAUAAAAACACAAAGACUCCAAAGCAACGGGACUCUGAGGAGAAGACAGUUUGUUCCUGCAGCUGGAUUCAGGUAGAAGCAGCUGAAUGGCGUCGCUUCACCUGGACUCUCGAUCAGAAGAGCAAAUGAAGACAUGAUGGGAUGAGAAACCAGGAGGAAGUGAUGCAGAGAGAGAAAGGCUGUGAUUGGCUGACCGUCGCCCCGUUCUGUAGUUAAAUGAAAGCAGAAAAGAUGUAAAACAAUCUGUCUGAAGCUCUGCAAUCAAACUUUCACUGCAGCUGUUAUUACUCUAUUAUCUGAGAGAGUGGACGGUUUCACAGCCCGAAAUUACUCUGGUUUUAGAGCGAAGUGUGUCUCUGGUGUUACAGGAAGUGACUUCCUGUGUUCGUUACGCUCCCACUAAUUAACUGUCACUCCUGUUUGUUAGAAUCACUGUCAUUUUCAUUCAGAAUGGAUGACGGCUGUCAGAUUAGUCGCCGACUUCCAGCAUCGCGAUACUAAGAAUAAAGCAGAUUAGCAUGUCUGCUGAACGGCAGAAUCUCCUGAAACCUGAGCGGAUCAGAGAACAUCGACGCUGAUCAGGUUUCAGCUAAAAAGAAGCUACAUGCUAAAAACUGAACCAAAACGUUACGGCAGUUCAUCUUCCAUCAAGGUUUAUAUAUUUGCAUUUUGAGCUAUUGCGUUAGAAAAAGCUUUGAACCUGAGAUGUUCACAGGAACCGGUGAAAAGGGCGGGGCGAGUAACGGAAACACGUAAUUGGUAAGUCACGUUAUUGCUUGGAUUUUAAUCGGUGCGUUUUGCAUCCAGUGAAAACAAACAUGUUAACAAAUAAACUGGACAGUUUGCUGUAAGUUUAGUGAUAUUUCCACAGUUGUGGUCUUGAAAUAAAGUCCUGAGUCCUCAGCGCCCGAUUCCGAGACU
Long non-coding RNA from Xiphophorus couchianus (Monterrey platyfish), 3473 nucleotides. RefSeq lists it as uncharacterized. Lineage: Eukaryota; Metazoa; Chordata; Actinopteri; Cyprinodontiformes; Poeciliidae. The transcript has 3 exons. The record is from RefSeq and is a predicted model, not a curated record.